UACGUAGGGCGCAAGCGUUGUCCGGAAUUAUUGGGCGUAAAGCGCUCGUAGGCGGUUUGUCGCGUCUGCUGUGAAAACCUAAGGCUCAACCUUGGGCUUGCAGUGGGUACGGGCAAACUAGAGUACUGCAGGGGAGACUGGAAUUCCUGGUGUAGCGGUGAAAUGCGCAGAUAUCAGGAGGAACACCGGUGGCGAAGGCGGGUCUCUGGGCAGUAACUGACGCUGAGGAGCGAAAGCGUGGGGAGCGAACAGG
Molecule: ribosomal RNA, 253 nt
Filed under: uncultured bacterium
Lineage: Bacteria
Description: partial 16S ribosomal RNA
Rfam family: Bacterial small subunit ribosomal RNA
Source: RNAcentral